Passer domesticus (house sparrow) is the source of this 420-nucleotide long non-coding RNA. RefSeq lists it as uncharacterized. The transcript is spliced from 2 exons. The record is from RefSeq and is a predicted model, not a curated record. Lineage: Eukaryota; Metazoa; Chordata; Aves; Passeriformes; Passeridae.
CACAAGGACAGCUGGAGACUGCCAGGAGCCAGCAGGGAGAAGCCGAGGGACAGCAGCAGGAGCAGUGAGCGGGGCCCUGCUGCUGCCAGCCUGGAGAGAGCCCGGAUGUGCCAUCUGCUGUCCCUGUCCAGGAGAUCUGCCAAACUUCAUCUGCAGGCUCAGAAGAACCGGUGUCCUUUGGCCACCCUCAGUUCCCUCUGAAGAUGGGAUCACCUGCAGAGCAGAGGGGACCAGCUGCAGCUCCAGGCCCAGCUCUUGCCGGUCACAGCUGAGCCUGUGGCAAGCUCCAGGAGCUGCUGCCAUCUCCCUCCCUGUUGGUAGCUCACUCCCUCCAGUCCCCAGGCCCUGCCCAUCCACCUUUUUCCCUCCCAGCUCACCCCUUCGCUUUGCCUUCCCUUAUUAAACAGUUUGGCUUUUUCA